CACCAAUAUCAACUUUAUUUG
This 21-nucleotide microRNA is filed under the name Malus domestica (apple). Its description in RNAcentral is "mdm-miR7124a". Lineage: Eukaryota; Viridiplantae; Streptophyta; Magnoliopsida; Rosales; Rosaceae. The record is from miRBase by way of RNAcentral.